AUUGAACGCUGGCGGCAGGCCUAACACAUGCAAGUCGAGCGGAAACGAGUUAUCAGAACCUUCGGGGGACGAUAACGGCGUCGAGCGGCGGACGGGUGAGUAAUGCCUAGGAAAUUGCCCUGAUGUGGGGGAUAACCAUUGGAAACGAUGGCUAAUACCGCAUGAUGCCUACGGGCCAAAGAGGGGGACCUUCGGGCCUCUCGCGUCAGGAUAUGCCUAGGUGGGAUUAGCUAGUUGGUGAGGUAAGGGCUCACCAAGGCGACGAUCCCUAGCUGGUCUGAGAGGAUGAUCAGCCACACUGGAACUGAGACGCGGUCCAGACUCCUACGGGAGGCAGCAGUGGGGAAUAUUGCACAAUGGGCGCAAGCCUGAUGCAGCCAUGCCGCGUGUGUGAAGAAGGCCUUCGGGUUGUAAAGCACUUUCAGUCGUGAGGAAGGUGGUAGUGUUAAUAGCACUAUCAUUUGACGUUAGCGACAGAAGAAGCACCGGCUAACUCCGUGCCAGCAGCCGCGGUAAUACGGAGGGUGCGAGCGUUAAUCGGAAUUACUGGGCGUAAAGCGCAUGCAGGUGGUUUGUUAAGUCAGAUGUGAAAGCCCGGGGCUCAACCUCGGAAUUGCAUUUGAAACUGGCAGACUAGAGUACUGUAGAGGGGGGUAGAAUUUCAGGUGUAGCGGUGAAAUGCGUAGAGAUCUGAAGGAAUACCGGUGGCGAAGGCGGCCCCCUGGACAGAUACUGACACUCAGAUGCGAAAGCGUGGGGAGCAAACAGG
RNAcentral lists this ribosomal RNA (769 nucleotides) under uncultured bacterium. Its description in RNAcentral is "bacterial SSU rRNA". It matches the Rfam family "Bacterial small subunit ribosomal RNA", at positions 28 to 776 of the family's 1533-position model. The record is from RNAcentral.